GCUACACAUGCAGUCGACGGUGAAGAGAGCUUGCUUCUCUGGAUCAGUGGCGAACGGGUGAGUAACACGUGAGUAACCUGCCCUUGACUCUGGGAUAAGCGUUGGAAACGACGUCUAAUACCGGAUACGAACCGUGGAGGCAUCUCCUGCGGUUGGAAAGAAUUUUGGUCAAGGAUGGACUCGCGGCCUAUCAGCUAGUUGGUGAGGUAACGGCCCACCAAGGCGACGACGGGUAGCCGGCCUGAGAGGGUGACCGGCCACACUGGGACUGAGACACGGCCCAGACUCCUACGGGAGGCAGCAGUGGGGAAUAUUGCACAAUGGGCGAAAGCCUGAUGCAGCAACGCCGCGUGAGGGACGACGGCCUUCGGGUUGUAAACCUCUUUUAGCAGGGAAGAAGCGAAAGUGACGGUACCUGCAGAAAAAGCACCGGCUAACUACGUGCCAGCAGCCGCGGUAAUACGUAGGGUGCAAGCGUUGUCCGGAAUUAUUGGCGUAAAGAGCUCGUAGGCGGUUGUCGCGUCUGCUGUGAAAACGCGAGGCUCACCUC
Molecule: ribosomal RNA, 550 nt
Filed under: bacterium fme09x53p39
Lineage: Bacteria
Description: bacterial SSU rRNA
Rfam family: Bacterial small subunit ribosomal RNA
Source: RNAcentral